Long non-coding RNA from Astatotilapia calliptera (eastern happy), 1436 nucleotides. The record is from Ensembl. NCBI's taxonomy places the organism in Eukaryota, Metazoa, Chordata, Actinopteri, Cichliformes, Cichlidae.
AGACAGCCCUGCUGAUGUCAUGUGUUUGGACCUCAGUGAUCAAAGACCAGCAGUUUAUAUUAGUCAGUUUUUCCGAAGCCACAAUACCACAAGUGCUUAAUUGUACAUUUUUUAUUAAUAUUUUUACUGUUUCGGUUUUUUCGAAAUAUAAAACUAAAUAGAAUUUGCUGUAAUUGUGAUUUAAAGGUCUCAAUUAUUAGCACAUAAUUUACUGUCUAAAUGUAAUUUGCUGAGUUGUUGUUUGUAAUAACCUUCCUCCUUCAAUGACAGAAAAUAAAAAGGCUUUGAAGAGCAUUUUGUUUUUACCCACAAAAUAGCCGAAAACAACAGAGCAAGUUGAAUGUGAGCAGCACAGAUUCUCAAAAACCCUCAAAGAACACGGUGCAAGUGGAGGAUGAUAAAAAAGGAGAACAUCUGGUGAGCAGAGCACAGUGCCAGGACAAGACAAAGCCAUGUGUCUGGCAAUCAUAUACCUACACACACACAGGGAACACAAACACACAUGCACACAGACCCAAACAUUCAUUCAUGCAUGCACACUCAAAUCUGCCUGCCCCCAAACUUGCAAACAAGCAAAAAAAAAAAAAUCCCCCCUACACACAGACACACACACAUACACACCCAUACACCUUCAUUGUGCCAGCGCUCAUGCACAGCAGGGUGCAGUUAGAGCGAAAGAAAAAAAGUAGGAUGUGAUUGGAGAGUCCACUGUUCAGGCAAGACUAAUCUGCAUACUCAGAGGCUUAGAAGUGAAUAUGCAUGAGAGAAUAAAAUGAUAUGCCUUGAAGCAGACCACCCGCUCUCUUUGGAUUACUGUACCCACCUCCGAGCCUUUUAUCUUCUUGUUGGCAUGCAAUCAAGCUGAUUUAGUGUGCACUUGCUGAUGGCUUUACACAACAGAUAGGCCUUAUAAGGUACAUAACCUGUUGAGAAAGAAAAAAAAAAUAAUGUCAAGAAAAAGGUUGAUUUGCGCUUAAAAUGUCACCAAAAGUGGUUAAAAAAAUACUUUUGCCCAUAUGUUUUUUGGCCAUAGUUUUUUUUUUUUUUUUAUGUCUGAUUCAGUUAACUGUAAGUAGAUUCAACCAUCUGCAGACAGAGAAGCAAAACAGAGAAAAUGAAUAUUUGGAAGAAUUGCACAGUAUUAGACACAGAGCUCUGAUGACCCAUCAAAUAUUGAAGAAAUGUCUGCUGGAACAGACUUCAGACAGACUUCCUCUAAGACUGUCCCUGCCAAUGAAUGAAUAUUUCAUUUCAGAAAAUAAAGUGGCCCUGAGAGGCACCAUUACCAAACUCUAAUGUCAGGGGAAAACAUUCUCCACGUUUAGCUGAAAGUUAGGGUGAAAUGAUAAGAGCCGUCCAUGCGUAACACAAUCUGAUGGGGUAAUGCAUUGGCAUCACAUUAGCAUGACUGUAUUUGACUGAAUGACUCUGUGUGU